CGAGUGGCGGACGGGUGAGGAAUACAUCGGAAUCUACUCUGUCGUGGGGGAUAACGUAGGGAAACUUACGCUAAUACCGCAUACGACCUACGGGUGAAAGCAGGGGAUCUUCGGACCUUGCGCGAUUGAAUGAGCCGAUGUCGGAUUAGCUAGUUGGCGGGGUAAAGGCCCACCAAGGCGACGAUCCGUAGCUGGUCUGAGAGGAUGAUCAGCCACACUGGAACUGAGACACGGUCCAGACUCCUACGGGAGGCAGCAGGG
RNAcentral lists this ribosomal RNA (261 nucleotides) under uncultured Stenotrophomonas sp. RNAcentral describes it as "partial 16S ribosomal RNA". It matches the Rfam family "Bacterial small subunit ribosomal RNA", at positions 92 to 354 of the family's 1533-position model. Lineage: Bacteria; Pseudomonadati; Pseudomonadota; Gammaproteobacteria; Lysobacterales; Lysobacteraceae. The record is from RNAcentral.